UACCAGCACCCCGAGUGGUCGGGACGUUUAUUGGGCCUAAAGCAUCCGUAGCCGGUUCUACAAGUCUUCCGUUAAAUCCAACUGCUUAACAGGUGGGCUGCGGAAGAUACUAUAGAGCUAGGAGGCGGGAGAGGCAAGCGGUACUCGAUGGGUAGGGGUAAAAUGCGUAGAGAUGUGGAGGAACACCAGUGGCGAAGGCGACUUUCUGGUCUGUAACUGACGCUGAGGCGCGAAAGCGUGGGGAGCAAACAGG
RNAcentral lists this ribosomal RNA (253 nucleotides) under uncultured bacterium. RNAcentral describes it as "partial 16S ribosomal RNA". The stretch from base 27 to 253 matches the Rfam family "Bacterial small subunit ribosomal RNA", at positions 550 to 776 of the family's 1533-position model. The record is from RNAcentral.